CAUUAGCUCAUUUCACAGCACAUUUGAAUG
RNAcentral lists this non-coding RNA (30 nucleotides) under Cricetulus griseus (Chinese hamster). Lineage: Eukaryota; Metazoa; Chordata; Mammalia; Rodentia; Cricetidae. The record is from RNAcentral.